RNAcentral lists this ribosomal RNA (930 nucleotides) under uncultured bacterium. RNAcentral's name for it is "bacterial SSU rRNA". It matches the Rfam family "Bacterial small subunit ribosomal RNA", at positions 8 to 916 of the family's 1533-position model. The record is from RNAcentral.
AGAGUUGAUCAUGGCUCAGGAUGAACGCUGGCAGUGUGCCUAAAACAUGCAAGUCGGACGGUUCUGAGGUUAGAGGCUGGAGGCUAAGGGAUUAGCUUGCAGUCUCUAAUUUCAGGACAGUGGCGAACGGGUGAGUAACGCGUAAGUAACCUACCCCCAGGACGGGGAUAACAUUCCGAAAGGGAUGCUAAUACCCGAUGAGGUUAAGUGACUGAGAUGUCAGAUAACCAAAGGGAAGCGAAAGUGACCGCCUGGGGAUGGGCUUGCGUCCCAUCAGCUAGUUGGUAGGGUAAGAGCCUACCAAGGCAAAGACGGGUAGCUGGCUUGAGAGGGUGGUCAGCCACACUGGGACUGAGACACGGCCCAGACUCCUACGGGAGGCAGCAGUUAGGAAUCUUCCGCAAUGGGCGAAAGCCUGACGGAGCGACACUGCGUGAGGGAAGGAGUCCUUCGGGAUGUAAACCUCUGUCGAGAGGGGAAGAAACAGACGGUACCCUCAAAGGAAGCCCCGGCUAACUACGUGCCAGCAGCCGCGGUAAAACGUAGGGGGCGAGCGUUAUCCGGAAUUACUGGGCGUAAAGGGCGUGUAGGCGGUCAGGUGUAUCGAGGGUGAAAUCCCACGGCUCAACUGUGGGAAGACUCUCGAGAUUAUCUGACUAGAGGGUAGAAGAGGGAGAUAGAAUUCCCGGUGUAGCGGUGGAAUGCGUAGAUAUCGGGAAGAAUGCCGGUGGUGAAGACGGUCUCCCAGGCUACUCCUGACGCUGAGGCGCGAAAGCUAGGGGAGCGAACGGGAUUAGAUACCCCGGUAGUCCUAGCCGUAAACGAUGGACACCAGGUGUAGGGGUUCACAGCCCCUGUGCCGGAGCCAACGCACUAAGUGUCCCGCCUGGGGAGUACGGCCGCAAGGCUAAAACUCAAAUGAAUUGACGG